CGCGGCCUAUCAGCUUGUUGGUGAGGUAAUGGCUCACCAAGGCUUCGACGGGUAGCCGGCCUGAGAGGGCGACCGGCCACACUGGGACUGAGAUACGACCCGGACUCCUACGGGAGGCAGCAGUGGGGAAUAUUGCACAAUGGGCGAAAGCCUGACGCAGCGACGCCGCGUGGGGGAGGAAGGCCCCAGGGUUGUAAACCCCUGUCAGGUGGGACGAACCACGGAUCGGUCAAUACCCGGUCCGCCUGACGGUACCACCAGAGGAAGCUCCGGCUAACUCCGCGCCAGCAGCCGCGGUAAUACGGAGGGAGCGAGCGUUGUUCGGAAUCACUGGGCGUAAAGGGCGCGUAGGCGGUCGGGUAAGUCGGGUGUGAAAUUCCGGGGCUCAACCCCGUGGACUGCAUCCGAUACUGCUCGACUAGAGAGAGGUAGGGGCGAGUGGAAUUCCCGGUGUAGCGGUGGAAUGCGUAGAUAUCGGGAAGAACACCGGUGGCGAAGGCGGCUCGCUGGGCCUCAUCUGACGCUGAAGCGCGAAAGCGUGGGGAGCAAACAGGAUUAGAUACCCUGGUAGUCCACGCCGUAAACGAUGGGUACCAGGUGUUGGGAGGAUUGACCCUUUCAGUGCCGACGCUAACGCAUUAAGUACCCCGCCUGGGGAGUACGG
RNAcentral lists this ribosomal RNA (664 nucleotides) under uncultured bacterium. RNAcentral's name for it is "bacterial SSU rRNA". It matches the Rfam family "Bacterial small subunit ribosomal RNA", at positions 232 to 885 of the family's 1533-position model. The record is from RNAcentral.